GAGGAGACGUUUCAACAUCACGGACCAUCAUCAUCAUCAUCAUUGUCUAGUUGCAGAACAGUUGACCACAAGUUUCCACAAGUUUCCUCCAGUAACUAGGAUCACUAUCCAUCAUCAUGGUCAUCAUGUGACCAGCACAGAGGAGAAAGGGCUGUUGCUACCUUCCAGUCGAACCAAGAUUGAUGACCAAUCAAUGAAUGUCCCACUUCAAUAUGAAUGGACAGAGGAGCAAACAUGCCUUUGCACAGGAGCAAGAAGGCCUUUGCUACCACUCGUGUGUGUUCCAUUGUAGUUGAAAGUGUCAUGAAAAGCCAGAAACCUCAGGAGGUUGAUGUGUUGCAGACCCAUUGGAAAGUCCUCAAAUAUACCCCUGAUCGCCAUGGUGGAGGAGGAUGCAAAUCUUCAAGAGGGCCACUACGCUCCAGAUCACCUUCUGUGCUCAGAGGUCUUUGAUGAGGAUCUACCCCAUCACACUGCUUUUAUAAAUCAUUAAUACAAUAAAAAAAAUGCA
Long non-coding RNA from Salvelinus sp. IW2-2015, 511 nucleotides. RefSeq lists it as uncharacterized. The record is from RefSeq and is a predicted model, not a curated record. Lineage: Eukaryota; Metazoa; Chordata; Actinopteri; Salmoniformes; Salmonidae.